GCCCCAGUGGCCUAAUGGACAAGGCAUUGGCCUCCUAAGCCAGAGAUUGUGGGGUCAAGUCCCACCUGGGGCA
Molecule: transfer RNA, 73 nt
Organism: Pelodiscus sinensis (Chinese soft-shelled turtle)
Lineage: Eukaryota; Metazoa; Chordata; Testudines; Trionychidae
Rfam family: tRNA
About the family: Transfer RNA (tRNA) molecules are approximately 80 nucleotides in length. Their secondary structure includes four short double-helical elements and three loops (D, anti-codon, and T loops).
Source: Rfam